CCUACGGGUGGCAGCAGUCGAGAAUCAUUCACAAUGGGGGAAACCCUGAUGGUGCGAAGCCGCGUGGGGGAAUGAAGGUCUUCGGAUUGUAAACCCCUGUCAUGUGGGAGCAAAUUAAAAAGAUAGUACCACAAGAGGAAGAGCCGGCUAACUCUGUGCAAGCAGCCGCGGUAAUACAGAGGUCUCAAGCGUUGUUCGGAAUCACUGGGCGUAAAGUGUGCGUAGGCUGUUUCGUAAGUCGUGUGUGAAAGGCGCGGGCUCAACCCGCGGACGGCACAUGAUACUGCGAGACUAGAGUAAUGGAGGGGGAACCGGAAUUCUCGGUGUAGCAGUGAAAUGCGUAGAUAUCGAGAGGAACACUCGUGGCGAAGGCGGGUUCCUGGACAUUAACUGACGCUGAGGCACGAAGGCCAGGGGAGCGAAAGGGAUUAGAUACCCUUGUAGUC
This 446-nucleotide ribosomal RNA is filed under the name uncultured bacterium. RNAcentral's name for it is "partial 16S ribosomal RNA". It matches the Rfam family "Bacterial small subunit ribosomal RNA", at positions 338 to 795 of the family's 1533-position model. The record is from RNAcentral.